This 253-nucleotide ribosomal RNA is filed under the name uncultured bacterium. RNAcentral's name for it is "partial 16S ribosomal RNA". It matches the Rfam family "Bacterial small subunit ribosomal RNA", at positions 524 to 776 of the family's 1533-position model. The record is from RNAcentral.
UACGAAGGGGGCUAGCGUUGCUCGGAAUCACUGGGCGUAAAGGGUGCGUAGGCGGGUCUUUAAGGCAGGGGUGAAAUCCUGGAGCUCAAUUCCAGAACUGCCUUUGAUACUGAGGAUCUUGAGUACGGGAGAGGUGAGUGGAACUGCGAGUGUAGAGGUGAAAUUCGUAGAUAUUCGCAAGAACACCAGUGGCGAAGGCGGCUCACUGGCCCGUUACUGACGCUGAGGCACGAAAGCGUGGGGAGCAAACAGG